AGGACAUUACCACACUUUAAAAAACUGUCCACGUGAACUGUAAGCAAGUCUAGCGCUGUGACUGAGCUGGUGUUUUCAUUUUUGGACACUGGAACGGGAGUCAGCAGGACGAAGGUUGGUCUGUUGUAAUGCAAGUUAUGAUGGACUAGCUGAUGAACUUUUGUUUUUAAACCCUUACCUAAAUACUGAUUUAUACUGUGGGGACGAAAGUCCUUGCUUUUACUAGAUAACAACUUUCAGCAGUGGAUGUCUAGGCUCGCACAUCGAUGAAGAACGCUGCGAACUGCGAUACGUAAUGCGAAUUGCAGAAUUCAGUGAGUCAUCGAAAUUUUGAACGCAUAUUGCACUUUCGGGUUAUGCCUGGAAGUAUGUCUGUAUCAGUGUCCGUAAAUCAAACUUGCCUUUCUUUUUCUGUGUAGUCAGGGAUGGAAUGUGCAGAUGUGAAGUGUCUCGCAUGGUUGCGUUCGUUUUUUCGAUCGAGAAUCUGUCGAGUCCUUUUAAAUGGACACGGUCUUUUCUAUGGUUUCUAUGAAGUGUAAUGGUUGGAAGGCAGUGAUUUUCGGAUUGCUGGCGGCUUUUGGCGACUUCGGUAUGAACGUAUGGAGACUAGCUCAAUUCGUGGUAUGUUAGGCUUCGGCUCGACAAUGUUGCGUAAUUGUGUGUGGUCUUUGUUUGUGCCUUGAGGUGUACUAGAGGUUGUCGGUUUGAACCGUAAGUGAUUGUUUAGUAGAGCAUUUUCACGAUGUAUGGAGACGCUGCAUUUAGUUGCGUAGAGAGAUUGAUUUGGGAAAUUUUGUAUCAUUGUCAAUUGCAAGAUUGUGUAUGGUAUCUCAAUUGGACCUGAUAUCAGACAAGACUACCCGCUGAACUUAGAUUCUUUAAAAACGGGAAGGAAAAAAACCCUAAAAAAAACCUUUUGG
The sequence is a ribosomal RNA, 920 nucleotides long. The stretch from base 232 to 386 matches the Rfam family "5.8S ribosomal RNA".